CAGCCGCCGCGGGAAAACGUAGGGUGCGAGCGUUAAUCGGAAUCACUGGGCGUAAAGCGUGCGCAGGCGGUUGUGUAAGACAGGUGUGAAAUCCCCGGGCUUAACCUGGGAACUGCGCUUGUGACUGCACAGCUAGAGUAUGGCAGAGGGGGGUGGAAUUCCACGUGUAGCAGUGAAAUGCGUAGAUAUGUGGAGGAAUACCGAUGGCGAAGGCAGCCCCCUGGGAUAACACUGACGCUCAUGCACGAAAGCGUGGGGAGCAAACAGGAUUAGAUACCCCAGUAGUCCCUGUCUCUUAUAC
This 301-nucleotide ribosomal RNA is filed under the name uncultured bacterium. Its description in RNAcentral is "partial 16S ribosomal RNA". It matches the Rfam family "Bacterial small subunit ribosomal RNA", at positions 509 to 807 of the family's 1533-position model. The record is from RNAcentral.